UCCUAUGGACAUACCACUUUGUUAAUGUUCGAUCUUGUCUGUUCUCUGAAGCUAAGCAGGGUUGGGCCUGGCUAGUACUUGGGUGGGAGACCGUUGGAAGAUCAGAUGCCACAAUGGGGC
Molecule: ribosomal RNA, 120 nt
Filed under: Periophthalmus magnuspinnatus
Lineage: Eukaryota; Metazoa; Chordata; Actinopteri; Gobiiformes; Gobiidae
Source: RNAcentral